This 2830-nucleotide long non-coding RNA is filed under the name Olea europaea subsp. europaea. Lineage: Eukaryota; Viridiplantae; Streptophyta; Magnoliopsida; Lamiales; Oleaceae. The record is from RNAcentral.
GUCCUUUGAGUUUCCAACUCCAUUUAGUGUCUUUCCUUCUUUCAUUUUUCUAUUUUUGCUCUCGAAAGGAAAGGAGCUUUAGUACCCUUUAUUUACUUUUCGUGUGGCUUUUGCGAGGUCGUCAGUUGCCAGGAAUUUAGCCUGCCCAGGUACUUUAGCCUGCCCAGGUACUUUCUUCUAUCAUCACUUUUUUGCUCACUUUUCUUUACCCCUAUCCAUUUACCAGUAUGAGCUCGGAUGAAUCUAGGUUACAUUCUUAGGAGAUCAAGUAAGAAGAGUCCAUCCCAGUAGUUCUCCUCCUGUAGAAAAUGAAACUGAACUUAUACUAAUUAGAAGUCUUACGGAUAAAAGUGAGGUAUCUAGUUAGGAAGAGAGAGGUAAGCCCAUCCUCAGAAGGAAAUUGGGAAUCCUCAAAAAUUAGGUUAAUUGUAACUUAGGAGAGAAUAGAAUCCUAGAACGGUAAAUAUAGCAUACUAAACUCAAUUGAAAUGAUAUUUCCCACCCCUUAAACCGAGCUAAUGAGCCUUCGAUCGAGUAUGUCGCGCUUAACUCAGCUAUACUAAACCCCUGACUCAGGUUACCAUUUUCCAAAGUCAUCCGUAAGUUCCUAUUGUCUUGGGGAAUAGCUCCAACAUAACUUUGUCCCAAUGGGUAGAGAAAUUUGCUUGUUGCCAUGCUGUUGUGGCAUAGGUUAAGCUUUUCUGAAUUAAUUAUAGACCAAUUUAAUUCAUUGUACCUUUUAUGGGAGAUAUGAUAGACUCAAGUUAGCACUAUGCCAGUGUAAAACCUAAGACUGGAGGUUCCUUAGUUUUAGAUACUCUAUCCUCUAUUAAGAAGUGGAAGUCUGAUUUCUUUUAUGUUAUUAAGAAGUGGCAGUUUCACUCAACUGAGAUGGAUAGAAAUAACGUCGUUCCUAUUUGUUGCCAUAAAUUGUGUAAGUGUGCCUCGAUUUAUCUUCCAAAAUUCUGAUGUGUUUUGACUUCUGACCACCUAUCUCUCUUCUAGCAAAUUAUGUUCCUCCUGAAAUAACCCUAUAAGUUAGGUGAAGAGAAAUAGUGAUUAGAGCUUUAACAAGGACGAAGAUUGUGUGGCUUCUUGAUAUCAGAUCCCAGCUACUUCCAAGCAGGAUUGUUUCUUCGUAAUUUCAUGCCUCAACCUUCAAGUAAGUUAUGGAAGUCUUUACCUUAGCCUUAUUAUGGUAUUUUCUUAUCCUUUAAAUAACUUUUUUAUAUUCAAAUUCGCCUGAUAAAUAUGUUAUUCUUUUGUAGGUCAAACCCCAAUAAUAUUGGGAUACAAAGCUUCUUAGGCAUCUAAGAAAUGUACAAUGAUAGAGCUCAAAAAGUCUCAAAAAAAGGUGAGAUCUCAUCGAAGGGAAGUAAGACACCUCUUUGGCUAAGAAAACCAAAUCCACUAUUUUAGCCAAGGUAUUUCGGCCUCUGACUGCUAUUCCUUACCUAUCUUCUCCCAUUGGUUCCCCUAUUAAAGAAGCUAUUACUACUGUCGCUUCAACACCUGCGACCUCAGGCAUUUCUUGUUCACAUUUUCCUUUCCCCAAUCUCCAGUACCCCGAUAUUGAAGCUAUGGUUGGAACUCACCCAGAGAUACUCCUAGAUUUCUUCAAGCACCAUCACUUUCCAAAGAUAUGAUCUCAUCUUUCCCUUUUACUAUUAGAGACUCAGCUAACCUACUAACAAGAAGCUGUAAUGAAAGAAAACAAAGGUUUUUGGAAGAGAUGUCUAUAGAUGAGGUAUGUAUUACUGCAAAGCUAUACAGUGAUCAUUCUGUUUUAUAUAUGAUGAAUGUGGCCAUGAAGAUGUGUUCCUCUUUUUCUUUUUUCUUUUUGAACUCUCUAUUGAAUAAUCAAAAUUGACUUGUUCAUAGGUCAAUGCUAAGAUUGAAAAAGUGGUUGCUUUGAGGAAUGAGGCCUUAGCUACUUUCUAGGUUGUUAAGGCUGACAAAGUCCAAAAGACAAAGGAGAAGAAAGAACAUGAGCAUAGACUUUGCACCUUGGAGGCCGAACUAAAGGCUAAGGUCGUUGUUAGGUCUAAGCUUGAGAAAGAGUUGGCAGCAACUAAGUUACAGAGUGAGGAGGCCAACAUUUGAGCUUACAAUGAAAAAUUGAAGGAUGAAGAGGAAUGAAAAAAUAUCAAUGAGGCAGAUGCUAGGACAAUCAAAGCCAUAGAGCUCUAGAAAGAGUUUCCAAAGUUCAACGCAUUGGCUCAGAAUGCUCACAUCGUCAGCUUGGUCGAGGUGAUAAUGCACAUUGAAAAAAUACGACUGUGUUUGCACUUCAUCAAAAGACAAAUAGUAGUCUUCAUGCCUUUUUGAUGUUUAUCUGUAAUACCUCUUUUAGUUAGGUUGAUCGAGAUAGGUCUUUUUAAUCUGGCCUCUCAAGCAUGGUCGACGUUCCUUUCUUAGAACAUAUUUACCCUUGACCUAGGUUGAUCAAAAUUGCAUGAUCUUACCUCAGCAUGGUCCUUCCGUACGACGCCCACUCCACCUGGGGUAAGAAAAUUCAUACAAUAAUGGUAAAUUGAAUUGGCUAUCUUUAAUUCAUGCAAUAUAAGCUUUCCAAGAUUGCAUUAUAACAAGACGAUAAGUCGACUACUACAAAAUCAGCAAUGGUCCUCCUCUUGUAGGGUACAUCUCCUAGUUCAACAGUUAGGACAAUCUGACCUCACAUUUCAAUGGGAUCUCUCGUAAAGACUUUCAAUUUAUAGAAGUGGGAUGUAAAUACCUUUCUGGAAUUCCCAUUUGUUCCAAAGUUUUAAAAUAUAAGAUAUUAACAAAAGUCUUAUAAUCUGCAAGAGUUAGAUAUAUGUUAAUUCUG